AAGAUAGAAAUGAAUAUCACUUAUAUCAAAUGCAUAAGGGGAAAUAACUCUCAUAUGGAGCGUUCAUAUCGCUUCGGUCAAAAUAGGACAAAUCAGGCGAAGGAUAUAACGAGCAAUUUUGUAAAAUAAAUUUGUCAUAAUAUUUUACCGUUGCGAAGGAGUUGCGCUAACAAGGAAAACAGUGUUUGGGGAGAUAACUCCUACAAAGAAAAGUAUUCGUUUACGCAGGGUAAAUUUCAAAAGCGCAUAAACUGUUCGAUAUCAUAUACCAAAUAUCUAAGCGACAUAUUGCGAAACAAAUGUUUAUCGCAAGAACAAAAUUAGGCGGAAGAAAAAAAAAAUAAUCAGAAGAAAAACAAUAGGUCUUUCCACAGAAAAGUGGAAAGACCUAAUAAUAAUAAUCAGAAGAAA
Molecule: long non-coding RNA, 411 nt
Filed under: Mytilus galloprovincialis (Mediterranean mussel)
Lineage: Eukaryota; Metazoa; Mollusca; Bivalvia; Mytilida; Mytilidae
Source: RNAcentral